AAAGCCCUUGGUGUUGCAUUAAAUCCCAACCGAGGUUGUUCCGGUGUAACAGUAAAAUAAGCCCCCUUAAUUAGGACAAGCGUUUAUUUCAACAAAUAGCCGACAGAGUACUAAGGAUGUAAACAUUUUAAUACACUACUCAUGGCAAAUCCGAUCAAUUUGUUUUGUUGUUCAUGCCAGAUUUCUUCCUUAGCCUAUCAAGAUAAGGAGUCCACAACGUUCGUCAAUACAGAAGUCCUGCUUUGAAAGACUACAGAGAUGUUGCCAUUCAGCUGCUGGUGGCUAGGAGGGACAAUGAUCUAAAGCAGCUUCAUCUCCUGUAUGCUUUCCGUCAUCUGAAACCAAUUUAACUGUACAGUUUAAGGGCAUUCCUGCUGGGUAUCCGCCAUAUUGCUAUUCACAGAUUUGUAAAGAGAGGAGAGAGGAAAAUGACAGGGAUCCACUCUGGAUAAAUGGACAUGGACUCACUGAAUGAGCAUGUGAUGUGGACUGACUAUCAGUUGAGUUUAUGUUGUGAAUUUAGUUUUUCAAUGGCAAAACAGAAUUAUGUAUAUUUCUAACGUGUAUAUUGUGACAAUAUUUUCCCGAGAUUUGUAUAAACAUUGCUGUCUGUCUCUGACAUUUCCAACAAUGUUUAAAUAUUCAGAUUUGAUCUCCAGCUGUCCCAUAAUAAUGAACGUGUCGGGACGAGACAGAGAGGCAGGCAGGCAGGCAGUGUUUCUCAGCCAG
This 729-nucleotide long non-coding RNA is filed under the name Salmo salar (Atlantic salmon). Its description in RNAcentral is "lncRNA (ENSSSAG00000110100.1, ENSSSAG00020082182.1, ENSSSAG00075060249.1)". The record is from RNAcentral. Lineage: Eukaryota; Metazoa; Chordata; Actinopteri; Salmoniformes; Salmonidae.